CCUACGGGAGGCAGCAGUAGGGAAUCUUGCGCAAUGGGCGAAAGCCUGACGCAGCCAUGCCGCGUGAAUGAUGAAGGUCUUAGGAUUGUAAAAUUCUUUCAGCGGGGAAGAUAAUGACGGUACCCGCAGAGGAAGCUCCGGCUAACUUCGUGCCAGCAGCCGCGGUAAUACGAAGGGGGCUAGCGUUGCUCGGAAUUACUGGGCGUAAGGGGCGCGUAGGCGGGUGUUUAAGUCAGGGGUCAAAUCCCAGAGCUCAACUCUGGAACUGCCUUUGAUACUGGACACCUAGAGUACGGGAGAGGUGUGUGGAACUCCGAGUGUAGAGGUGAAAUUCGUAGAUAUUCGGAAGAACACCAGUGGCGAAGGCGACACACUGGCCCGUUACUGACGCUGAUGCGCGAAAGCGUGGGGAGCAAACAGGAUUAGAUACCCUGGUAGUCCACGCCGUAAACGAUGAGUGCUAGUUGUCGGCAUGCAUGCAUGUCGGUGACGCAGCUAACGCAUUAAGCACUCCGCCUGGGGAGUACGGUCGCAAGAUUAAAACUCAAAGGAAUUGACGG
RNAcentral lists this ribosomal RNA (560 nucleotides) under uncultured bacterium. RNAcentral's name for it is "bacterial SSU rRNA". It matches the Rfam family "Bacterial small subunit ribosomal RNA", at positions 338 to 916 of the family's 1533-position model. The record is from RNAcentral.